Molecule: ribosomal RNA, 1346 nt
Filed under: uncultured bacterium
Lineage: Bacteria
Description: partial 16S ribosomal RNA
Rfam family: Bacterial small subunit ribosomal RNA
Source: RNAcentral
GACGAACGCUGGCGGCGUGCUUAACACAUGCAAGUCGAACGGAAAGGCCCUGCUUUUGUGGGGUGCUCGAGUGGCGAACGGGUGAGUAACACGUGAGUAACCUGCCCUUGACUUUGGGAUAACUUCAGGAAACUGGGGCUAAUACCGGAUAGGAGCUCCUGCUGCAUGGUGGGGGUUGGAAAGUUUCGGCGGUUGGGGAUGGACUCGCGGCUUAUCAGCUUGUUGGUGGGGUAGUGGCUUACCAAGGCUUUGACGGGUAGCCGGCCUGAGAGGGUGACCGGCCACAUUGGGACUGAGAUACGGCCCAGACUCCUACGGGAGGCAGCAGUGGGGAAUAUUGCACAAUGGGCGGAAGCCUGAUGCAGCAACGCCGCGUGCGGGAUGACGGCCUUCGGGUUGUAAACCGCUUUCGCCUGUGACGAAGCGUGAGUGACGGUAAGGGGUAAAGAAGCACCGGCUAACUACGUGCCAGCAGCCGCGGUGAUACGUAGGGUGCGAGCGUUGUCCGGAUUUAUUGGGCGUAAAGGGCUCGUAGGUGGUUGAUCGCGUCGGAAGUGUAAUCUUGGGGCUUAACCCUGAGCGUGCUUUCGAUACGGGUUGACUUGAGGAAGGUAGGGGAGAAUGGAAUUCCUGGUGGAGCGGUGGAAUGCGCAGAUAUCAGGAGGAACACCAGUGGCGAAGGCGGUUCUCUGGGCCUUUCCUGACGCUGAGGAGCGAAAGCGUGGGGAGCGAACAGGCUUAGAUACCCUGGUAGUCCACGCUGUAAACGGUGGGUACUAGGUGUGGGGUCCAUUCCACGGGUUCCGUGCCGUAGCUAACGCUUUAAGUACCCCGCCUGGGGAGUACGGCCGCAAGGCUAAAACUCAAAGGAAUUGACGGGGCCCCGCACAAGCGGCGGAGCAUGCGGAUUAAUUCGAUGCAACGCGUAGAACCUUACCUGGGUUUGACAUGGAUCGGGAGUGCUCAGAGAUGGGUGUGCCUCUUUUGGGGUCGGUUCACAGGUGGUGCAUGCCUGUCGUCAGCUCGUGUCGUGAGAUGUUGGGUUAAGUCCCGCAACGAGCGCAACCCUUGUUCACUGUUGCCAGCACGUUAUGGUGGGGACUCAGUGGAGACCGCCGGGGUCAACUCGGAGGAAGGUGGGGAUGACGUCAAGUCAUCAUGCCCCUUAUGUCCAGGGCUUCACGCAUGCUACAAUGGCUGGUACAGAGAGUGGCGAGCCUGUGAGGGUGAGCGAAUCUCGGAAAGCCGGUCUCAGUUCGGAUUGGGGUCUGCAACUCGACCUCAUGAAGUCGGAGUCGCUAGUAAUCGCAGAUCAGCAACGCUGCGGUGAAUACGUUCCCGGGGCU